Molecule: non-coding RNA, 4015 nt
Organism: Sus scrofa (pig)
Lineage: Eukaryota; Metazoa; Chordata; Mammalia; Artiodactyla; Suidae
Source: RefSeq, a predicted model, not a curated record
AGAAGGGGGCUGUUGUAAGAGGAACUAGGGCUGGGAGUCCGCUGAAGGAGCAGGAGCAGGGCCAUGCCCCAGCCGCCCCCCGGAACUUCCUGAGCCUGCUCCCCGGCCACCACCCAUUCAGGCACUCCCCCACAGGGGCCCAGACAUCAACCCCCAUCAUGGGCAGCAAGGAGCGCUUCCACUGGCAGAGCCACAAUGUGAAGCAGAGUGGAGUGGACGACAUGGUGCUGCUGCCCCAGAUCACCGAGGACGCCAUCGUGGGCAACCUCCGCAAGCGCUUCAUGGACGAUUACAUCUUUACCUACAUCGGCUCCGUGCUCAUCUCCGUAAACCCUUUCAAGCAGAUGCCCUACUUCACUGACCGAGAGAUCGACCUCUACCAGGGCGCGGCCCAGUACGAGAAUCCCCCGCACAUCUAUGCCCUCACGGACAACAUGUACCGGAACAUGCUCAUUGACUGUGAGAACCAGUGUGUCAUCAUCAGUGGAGAAAGUGGAGCUGGGAAGACAGUGGCAGCCAAAUACAUCAUGGGCUACAUCUCCAAGGUGUCAGGAGGGGGCGAGAAGGUCCAGCAUGUGAAGGAUAUCAUCCUGCAAUCAAACCCACUGCUGGAAGCCUUUGGCAAUGCCAAGACCGUGCGCAACAAUAAUUCCAGUCGCUUUGGCAAGUACUUCGAGAUCCAGUUCAGCCGUGGUGGAGAGCCCGACGGGGGCAAGAUCUCCAACUUCCUGCUGGAGAAAUCUCGCGUGGUCAUGCAAAAUGAAAACGAGAGGAACUUCCACAUCUACUACCAGCUGCUGGAAGGGGCCUCUCAGGAGCAGCGGCAGAACCUGGGGCUCAUGACCCCCGACUACUAUUACUACCUCAACCAAUCAGACACCUACAAGGUGGACGGCACCGAUGACCGGAGCGACUUCAGCGAGACUCUGAACGCCAUGCAGGUCAUCGGGAUCCCGCCCAACAUCCAGCAGCUGGUUCUGCAGCUCGUGGCGGGGAUCUUGCACCUGGGAAACAUCAGCUUCUGCGAAGAUGGAAAUUAUGCCCGGGUGGAGAGUGCAGACCUCCUUGCCUUCCCCGCCUACCUCCUGGGCAUUGACAGCGGGCGGCUGCAGGAGAAGCUGACCAGCCGCAAGAUGGACAGCCGCUGGGGGGGGCGCAGCGAGUCCAUUGACGUGACCCUGAACGUGGAGCAGGCAGCCUACACACGGGAUGCCCUGGCCAAGGGGCUCUAUGCCCGUCUCUUCGACUUUCUUGUGGAGGCCAUCAACCGUGCCAUGCAGAAGCCCCAGGAGGAGUACAGCAUCGGCGUGCUUGACAUCUACGGCUUUGAGAUCUUCCAGAAAAAUGGCUUUGAGCAGUUCUGCAUCAACUUCGUCAACGAGAAGCUACAGCAGAUCUUUAUCGAACUCACCCUCAAGGCUGAACAGGAGGAGUAUGUACAGGAGGGCAUCCGCUGGACCCCCAUCCAGUACUUCAACAACAAAAUCGUCUGUGACCUCAUCGAAAACAAGCUGAGUCCCCCUGGCAUCAUGAGCGUUCUGGACGACGUGUGCGCCACCAUGCACGCCACGGGCGGCGGUGCCGACCAGACGCUGCUGCAGAAGCUGCAGGCAGCCGUGGGCACCCAUGAGCACUUCAACAGCUGGAGCUCUGGCUUCGUCAUCCACCACUACGCUGGCAAGGUCUCGUAUGAUGUCAGCGGCUUCUGUGAAAGGAACCGAGAUGUCCUCUUCUCCGACCUCAUUGAGCUGAUGCAGACCAGUGAGCAGGCCUUCCUCCGGAUGCUCUUUCCUGAGAAGCUGGAUGUAGAAAAGAAAGGCCGCCCCAGCACUGCCGGCUCCAAGAUCAAGAAACAAGCCAAUGACUUGGUGUCCACGCUGAUGAAAUGCACACCCCACUACAUCCGCUGCAUCAAACCCAACGAGACCAAGAGGCCCCGUGACUGGGAGGAGAACAGGGUCAAGCACCAGGUGGAGUACCUCGGCCUGAAGGAAAACAUCAGGGUGCGCCGGGCAGGCUUCGCCUACCGCCGCCAGUUCUCCAAGUUCCUGCAGAGGUAUGCCAUUCUGACCCCUGAGACGUGGCCGCGGUGGCGUGGGGACGAGCGUCAGGGGGUCCAGCACUUGCUGCGGGCUGUCAACAUGGAGCCGGACCAGUACCAGAUGGGGAGCACCAAGGUCUUCGUCAAGAACCCCGAGUCGCUCUUCCUUCUGGAGGAGAUGAGAGAGCGAAAAUUCGAUGGCUUUGCCCGUACCAUCCAGAAGGCCUGGCGGCGCCACGUGGCAGUCCGGAAGUACGAGGAGAUGCGGGAGGAAGCUUCCAACAUUCUGCUGAACAAGAAGGAGCGUAGACGGAACAGCAUCAAUAGGAACUUCGUCGGGGACUACCUGGGGCUGGAGGAGCGGCCAGAGCUGCGUCAGUUCCUGGGCAAGAGGGAGCGUGUGGACUUCGCUGACUCGGUCAACAAAUAUGACCGUCGCUUCAAGCCCAUCAAGAGGGACUUGAUCCUGACGCCCAAGUGCGUGUAUGUGAUCGGGCGGGAGAAGGUGAAGAAGGGACCUGAGAAGGGCCAGGUGCGUGAGGUUCUGAAGAAGAAGCUGGAGAUCCAGGCACUGCGGGGAGUUUCCCUCAGUACGCGGCAGGACGACUUCUUCAUCCUCCAAGAAGACGCAGCUGACAGCUUCCUGGAAAGCGUCUUCAAAACCGAGUUUGUCAGCCUCCUGUGCAAGCGCUUUGAGGAGGCGGUGCGGAGGCCCCUGCCCCUCACCUUCAGCGACACGUACGAUCCCCACCUCCCGCACCAUCCACGGGCUGGGCUUGGCACAGCAACCCCUCACAGACUGGCCGAAAGGCACCCGUGCUCCCCCUCCCACUCCAGCCUGGGUCUGACAAAGAUGGGAUGACGAGGUGACCCUGCCUAGGGGGUAGGGACCCCCACAGCUUCCUCCUCUCCUCACAGACUACAGUUCCGAGUGAAGAAGGAGGGCUGGGGCGGAGGUGGCACCCGCAGCGUCACUUUUUCCCGCGGUUCCGGCGACGUGGCGUUGCUCAAAGCUAGCGGCCGGGCCCUCACGGUCAGCGUGGGUGAUGGACUGCCCAAAAGCUCCAAGCCUACACGGAAGGGAAUGGCCCAGGGAAAACCUCGAAGGUUUGCCCAGGCCCCUACUCGAGCAGCUCCCGGGCCACCCAGAGGCCUGGAUCGCAAUGGCGUGCCUCCUUCUGCCAGAGGUAGCCACCUGCCCCUGGAGAUCACAUCCGCAGGGGGCUCCCAAAGACCACCACGGGGCCCUCCGUCUUCAGCCUUGGGGGCCAGCAGACGCCCACGGGCACGGCCCCCCUCGGAGCACAACACAGAAUUCCUCAAUGUGCCUGACCAGGGCGUGGCUGGCAUGCAGAGGAAACGCAGCGUGGGGCAGCGACCUGUGCCUGGUGUGGGCCGACCCAAGCCCCAGCCACGGGCACACGGCCCGAGAUGUCGAGCACUGUACCAGUAUGUGGGCCAAGAUGUGGACGAGCUGAGCUUCAACGUGAACGAGGUCAUCGAGAUCCUCUUGGAAGAUUCCUCAGGCUGGUGGAAAGGGCGGCUGCACGGUCAGGAAGGCCUCUUCCCAGGAAACUAUGUGGAGAAAAUCUGAGUGGGGCAGGGGCCUGCCCUCCCACCUGCCUGCCUGCCCAGGAGCCAGGCCUUGCAAUGCAGAUCUCUCGUUCCCCUUGACUGCACUGGCCAGAAGGUCCAGUCCUGUGGCCUCCAGCCCAGCCUAGCCCAGGUGCUGGGUCUGGGGUCACCACUGCAGCCGCCCCCAGGCCCUGGCCUCCCCCACAUCACACUGGUUUCCUCCUAUGUCAAACAGGGCUAACAGCAGAACCUACCUCCCAGCCGCCUUGUCAGUAGGAAAUGAAUUGUGUCCCACAGGCCAAGUGCAGGGCAUAGUCGGGGGAGGAGGGCUUGACAAGCAUGACUUCCCUCCUUCCCUCAUCACUGAGGCAAUAAAUGUUUGCUGAGUGAAAACAUGAA